Molecule: ribosomal RNA, 700 nt
Filed under: uncultured bacterium
Lineage: Bacteria
Description: bacterial SSU rRNA
Rfam family: Bacterial small subunit ribosomal RNA
Source: RNAcentral
AGUGGCAGACGGGUGCGUAACACGUAGGUGACCUGCCCUGGAGUGGGGAAUAACUAUCCUAACGGAUAGCUAAUACCGCAUAUGCUCGGUGAUUCAUUUUGCCGAGUAAAGUCGAAAGGCGCUUCAGGAUGGGCCUGCGGCGGAUUAGGUAGUUGGUGGGGUAACGGCCUACCAAGCCGAUGAUCCGUAGGGGGCGUGAGAGCGUGGCCCCCCACACUGGCACUGAGAUACGGGCCAGACUCCUACGGGAGGCAGCAGUGAGGAAUAUUGCGCAAUGGGCGAAAGCCUGACGCAGCAACGCCGCGUGAGGGACGAAGGCCUUCGGGUCGUAAACCUCUUUUCUGGGGAAAGAGCAAGGACGGUACCUCAGGAAUAAGUCUCGGCUAACUACGUGCCAGCAGCCGCGGUAAAACGUAGGAGGCGAGCGUUAUCCGGAUUUACUGGGCGUAAAGCGCACGCAGGCGGCUUCGUUAGUCGGGUGUGAAAGCUCCUAGCUUAACUGGGAGAGGCCAUUCGAUACUGCGAGGCUUGAGGUUGGGAGAGGGGUGUGGAAUUCCCGGUGUAGUGGUGGAAUGCGUAGAUAUCGGGAGGAACACCUGUGGCGAAAGCGGCACCCUGGCCCACACCUGACGCUGAGGUGCGAAAGCGUGGGGAGUAAACAGGAUUAGAUACCCUGGUAAUCCACGCUGUAAACGAUGUC